RNAcentral lists this ribosomal RNA (263 nucleotides) under uncultured bacterium. Its description in RNAcentral is "partial 16S ribosomal RNA". It matches the Rfam family "Bacterial small subunit ribosomal RNA", at positions 90 to 354 of the family's 1533-position model. The record is from RNAcentral.
UUCGAGUGGCGGACGGGUGAGUAACGCGUGGGUAACCUGCCUUACACAGGGGGAUAACACCUGGAAACAGGUGCUAAUACCGCAUAAGCGCACAGGGCCGCAUGGCCCGGUGUGAAAAACUCCGGUGGUGUAAGAUGGACCCGCGUCUGAUUAGCUUGUUGGCGGGGUAGGGGCCCACCAAGGCGACGAUCAGUAGCCGGCCUNAGAGGGUGGACGGCACAUUGGGACUGAGACACGGCCCAAACUCCUACGGAAGGCAGCAG